RNAcentral lists this ribosomal RNA (433 nucleotides) under uncultured bacterium. RNAcentral describes it as "partial 16S ribosomal RNA". It matches the Rfam family "Bacterial small subunit ribosomal RNA", at positions 29 to 507 of the family's 1533-position model. The record is from RNAcentral.
AACGAACGCUGGCGGCAGGCCUAACACAUGCAAGUCGAGCGCGCCCUCCGGGGUGAGCGGCGGACGGGUGAGUACCGCGUGGGAACGUGCCCUUUUCUACGGUAUAGCCUCGGGAAACUGAGAGUCAUACCGUAUACGCUCUUUGGGGGAAAGAUUUCUCGGAAAAGGAUCGGCGCGCGUUGGAUUAGGUAGUUGGUGGGGGAAUCGCCUACCAAGCCGACGAUCCAUAGCUGGUUGGAGAGGAUGAUCAGCCGCACUGGGGCUGAGACACGGCCCAGACUCCUACGGGAGGGAGCAGUAGGGUAUCUUAGGCAAGGGAGGCAACCCUGAUCAAGCCAUGCCGCGGGAGUGAGGAAGGCCUUAGGGUAGUAAAGCUCUUUCAGCUGGGAAGAUAAUGACGGUACCAGCAGAAGAAGCCCCGGCUAACUCCGUG